UCGAGCGGUAACAGGACUAGCUUGCUAGUUGCUGACGAGCGGCGGACGGGUGCGUAACACGUAGGAAUCUACCCAGUAGCGGGGGAUAGCCCGGAGAAAUCCGGAUUAAUACCGCAUACGCCCUACGGGGGAAAGCAGGGGAUCUUCGGACCUUGCACUAUUGGAUGAGCCUGCGUCGGAUUAGCUAGUUGGUGGGGUAAAGGCCUACCAAGGCAACGAUCCGUAGCUGGUCUGAGAGGAUGAUCAGCCACACUGGGACUGAGACACGGCCCAGACUCCUACGGGAGGCAGCAGUGGGGAAUAUUGCACAAUGGGCGCAAGCCUGAUGCAGCCAUGCCGCGUGUGUGAAGAAGGCUCUAGGGUUGUAAAGCACUUUCAGCGAGGAGGAAAGGUUGGUAAUUAAUACUUGCCAGCUGUGACGUUACUCGCAGAAGAAGCACCGGCUAACUCCGUGCCAGCAGCCGCGGUAAUACGGAGGGUGCAAGCGUUAAUCGGAAUUACUGGGCGUAAAGCGUGCGUAGGCGGCUGCCUAAGUUGGAUGUGAAAGCCCCGGGCUCAACCUGGGAACUGCAUCCAAAACUGGGCAGCUAGAGUGCGGAAGAGGAGUGUGGAAUUUCCUGUGUAGCGGUGAAAUGCGUAGAUAUAGGAAGGAACACCAGUGGCGAAGGCGACACUCUGGUCUGACACUGACGCUGAGGUACGAAAGCGUGGGGAGCAAACAG
Molecule: ribosomal RNA, 722 nt
Filed under: uncultured Gammaproteobacteria bacterium
Lineage: Bacteria; Pseudomonadati; Pseudomonadota; Gammaproteobacteria
Description: bacterial SSU rRNA
Rfam family: Bacterial small subunit ribosomal RNA
Source: RNAcentral